AAUGAACGCUGGCGGCGCGCCUAAUACAUGCAAGUCGAGCGAGAAGACGUAGCAAUACGUUUGUAAAGCGGCGAACGGGUGAGGAAUACAUGGGUAACCUACCCUCGAGUGGGGAAUAACUAGCCGAAAGGUUAGCUAAUACCGCGUACGCUCCUUGGACUUCGGUUCAGGGAGGAAAGCGAUACCGUGGGUAUCGCGCUCUUGGUUGGGCUCAUGUCCUAUCAGCUUGUUGGUGAGGAACGGCUCACCAAGGCUUCGACGGGUAGCUGGUCUGAGAGGACGAUCAG
This 287-nucleotide ribosomal RNA is filed under the name uncultured bacterium. Its description in RNAcentral is "partial 16S ribosomal RNA". It matches the Rfam family "Bacterial small subunit ribosomal RNA", at positions 29 to 307 of the family's 1533-position model. The record is from RNAcentral.